CAGGGAGAUAGUCACACAGAGAGAGGGCGUGUAAAUAAGGCACCAUUCUAUUGGAGGAGCAACUCAGAAAGCUGCAUGAUAACUCAGACCUAGGUGCAACCCUCAUCUGGCAGUGCCCCUGUCCCUGCCUGGGCGAUACAUCACAGAGACCACCUCUGACAGCGGAGCUCAGUCAGAAGCAAUGCUCACUCAUCUCAGGCCUUCACAUGCUCAGAAGCCAUCGAGGGACAGGUAAAGAGAGUGAGAGGUGGCCUUUGAAUUUGUGGCCCAAAAAUCCAUGGAAAGAAAAUGUAGCCUUUGAGAUGGAAGCCCUUCAAAGAGAGGUGGUGUCCUUGAGAGGCUGGGUCUGCUCUCGCUGGGGAGAAAGCGUGCGAAAAGGAACUCAACUCCAGGCCAGGAAGUGCUCGGAUUUAAUCAAAGUGCCAAUGACUGCUUCAUCACUGUCGGGGUGAUACUGAUUGAAAGGACACAUUUUUCCUCUUACUAAUAUUCUUGAUCAAAGCAUAAAAGGAAGCAUAUGUUUUAGUUGAAUGAGGGCCCAUUUUCUGUUUUCUCAAUUACUAAUUUUUCAGGAAAGUAGAAUAUUGGAGGCACAAAAUGCAAUCUCAAAGCCAUGAAUUCUACCCUUCUGCUCUUAGCUUUGCCCAAGAUUGUCUGAAUGAUCUUGGGCAAAUCACUGAGGGCAGAUACUUGCUUUAGUGCCUGCAACUAUGAGAUGGUCAACAACUCUCAUGCUCUCUCCCCACCCUGGGCCUGAUGAAUACUCAGCAAAUAUUACAUGAGCCAUCAAAUGAUUAAAUUGACUUUGGUGCUUCUAUUGGUCUGACUAGCAUGUAUAGCCUUUUUUCCCCACAAAUGACAGUUACUUCCUGGCUUUGAUCUGAAAUUGCAUUAAUCUACCCCAAAAAGUGAGUUAAGAGUAUUUUAUUAUUUUUUCUAACCUUAAGGGAAAUGGCUUCAUGAACACCUUUAAUUAAAAAGAAAAAUAAGUGAAAAGAUUAUGUUUUAAAAUCACACAAGUGCCCUCUCCCUCUCCCUCUCCCCAUGGUCUCCCUCUCCCCAUGGUCUCCCUCUCCCUCUCUUUCCACGGUCUCCCUCUCAUGCCGAGCCAAAGCUGGACUAUACUGCUGCCAUCUCGGCUCACUGCAACCUCCCUGCCUGAUUCUCCUGCCUCAGCCUGCCGAGUGCCUGCAAUUGCAGGCGCGCGCCACCACGCCUGACGGGUUU
Molecule: long non-coding RNA, 1227 nt
Filed under: Homo sapiens (human)
Lineage: Eukaryota; Metazoa; Chordata; Mammalia; Primates; Hominidae
Description: HSALNT0276806
Source: RNAcentral